RNAcentral lists this ribosomal RNA (253 nucleotides) under uncultured bacterium. RNAcentral's name for it is "partial 16S ribosomal RNA". It matches the Rfam family "Bacterial small subunit ribosomal RNA", at positions 524 to 776 of the family's 1533-position model. The record is from RNAcentral.
UACAGAGGUCUCAAGCGUUGUUCGGAUUCAUUGGGCGUAAAGGGUGCGUAGGCGGCGCGGUAAGUCGGGUGUGAAAUCUCGGAGCUUAACUCCGAAACUGCAUUCGAUACUGCCGUGCUUGAGGACUGGAGAGGAGACUGGAAUUUACGGUGUAGCGGUGAAAUGCGUAGAUAUCAAGAGGAACACCAGUGGCGAAGGCGAGUCCCUGGACAACACCUGACACUGAGGCACGAAAGCUAGGGGAGCAAACAGG